RNAcentral lists this ribosomal RNA (433 nucleotides) under uncultured bacterium. RNAcentral describes it as "partial 16S ribosomal RNA". It matches the Rfam family "Bacterial small subunit ribosomal RNA", at positions 29 to 507 of the family's 1533-position model. The record is from RNAcentral.
AACGAACGCUGGCGGCAUGCCUAACACAUGCAAGUCGAACGAGACCUUCGGGUCUAGUGGCGCACGGGUGCGUAACGCGUGGGAACCUGCCCUUAGGUUCGGAAUAACUCCCCGAAAGGGGUGCUAAUACCGGAUAAUGUCUUCGGACCAAAGAUUUAUCGCUUUUGGAUGGGCCCGCGUUGGAUUAGCUAGUUGGUAGGGGAAAAGCCUACCAAGGCGACGAUCCAUAGCUGGUCUGAGAGGAUGAUAAGCCACACUGGGACUGAGACACGGACCAGACUCCUACGGGAGGCAGCAGUAGGGAAUAUUGGACACUGGGCGAAAGCCUGAUCCAGCAAUGCCGCGUGAGUGAUGCAGGCCUUAGGGUUGUAAAGCUCUUUUACCCGGGAUGAUAAUGACAGUACCGGGAGAAUAAGCACCGGCUAACUACGUG